GACGAACGCUGGCGGCGUGCCUAAUACAUGCAAGUAGAACGCACAGUUUAUACCGUAGCUUGCUACACCAUACACUGUGAGUUGCGAACGGGUGAGUAACGCGUAGGUAACCUGCCUGGUAGCGGGGGAUAACUAUUGGAAACGAUAGCUAAUACCGCAUAAUAUUGAUUAUUGCAUGAUAAUUGAUUGAAAGAUGCUAUUGCAUCACUACCAGAUGGACCCGCGUUGUAUUAGCUAGUAGGUGAGGUAACGGCUCACCUAGGCGACGAUACAUAGCCGACCUGAGAGGGUGAUCGGCCACACUGGGACUGAGACACGGCCCAGACUCCUACGGGAGGCAGCAGUAGGGAAUCUUCGGCAAUGGACGAAAGUCUGACCGAGCAACGCCGCGUGAGUGAAGAAGGGUGUCGGAUCGUAAAGCUCGGUUGUAAGAGAAGAGCGGGUGUGAGAGUGGAAAGUUCACACUGUGACGGUAUCUUACCAGAAAGGGACGGCUAACUACGUG
Molecule: ribosomal RNA, 505 nt
Filed under: uncultured bacterium
Lineage: Bacteria
Description: partial 16S ribosomal RNA
Rfam family: Bacterial small subunit ribosomal RNA
Source: RNAcentral